AGGGUUUGAUCAUGGCUCAGAAUCAACGCUGGCGGCGUGCCUAAUACAUGCAAGUCGUACGCGAAAGCGGCCUUCGGGCCGUGAGUAGAGUGGCAAACGGGUGAGUACCGCGUGGGUGACCUGCCUUCGAGUGGGGGAUAACUCUCCGAAAGGAGAGCUAAUACCGCAUAACAUCCCGCUUUUGGAUGGGUGGAGAUCAAAGCCGGGGAUCGCAAGACCUGGUGCUUGAAGAGGGACCCGCGUCCGAUUAGCUUGUUGGUGGGGUAGUGGCCUACCAAGGCUUCGAUCGGUAGCCGGCCUGAGAGGGCGGACGGCCACACUGGGACUGAGACACGGCCCAGACUCCUACGGGAGGCAGCAGUAGGGAAUUGUUCGCAAUGGGCGCAAGCCUGACGACGCAACGCCGCGUGGAGGACGAAGAUCUUCGGGUUGUAAACUCCUGUCGAGCGGGAAGAACAGUGCGCGGGUUAAUACCCCGUGCGCCUGACGGUACCGCUAAAGGAAGCCCCGGCUAACUCCGUGCCAGCAGCCGCGGUAAUACGGGGGGGGCAAGCGUUGUUCGGAAUUACUGGGCGUAAAGGGCUCGUAGGCGGCCAGCCAAGUCGGACGUGAAAUCCCCAGGCUC
RNAcentral lists this ribosomal RNA (625 nucleotides) under uncultured bacterium. Its description in RNAcentral is "bacterial SSU rRNA". It matches the Rfam family "Bacterial small subunit ribosomal RNA", at positions 8 to 610 of the family's 1533-position model. The record is from RNAcentral.